GGGGCAUUAGCUCAGUUGGCUAGAGCGUUUGACUGGCAGUCAAGAGGUCAGCGGUUCGAUUCCGCUAUGCUCCA
RNAcentral lists this transfer RNA (74 nucleotides) under Bacteroidales bacterium. RNAcentral describes it as "tRNA-Ala". It matches the Rfam family "tRNA". Rfam says of the family: Transfer RNA (tRNA) molecules are approximately 80 nucleotides in length. Their secondary structure includes four short double-helical elements and three loops (D, anti-codon, and T loops). Lineage: Bacteria; Pseudomonadati; Bacteroidota; Bacteroidia; Bacteroidales. The record is from RNAcentral. RNAcentral also lists the same sequence under 1 other name.